UAGGGAUUAGCAACAUGGUUGUGCAUAUAUGCUGGUGCAUAUGAUUUCAGGUGAUGUUUGCUUGUUGCUCUUUGUGUGCUGAUAGUAAAAAAAUAUUUAAAAUACAUUUGGUAGAUCGAUCCUCCUUGACCAGUAAGUCUUUCUCUUUUUCUACAAUCAAAUUCCUUGUCGCUUAGUUUAAGAUUUCAUUCAGAGUCUCUCGAAAUCUUUUCUUUCAAACCUAAGUUACUCCUUUCAGUUUCUCGUCCAUCAAGCAAUCUCUACAAACUUUUCGAGAAUUUUUCCAGCUUCUAUUCUCACUUUUCUAUGAGCAUAAUCUAAUUUUUAGAUGCUCUGAAUUAUCUUAUCAGGAGCUCCAAAUACUUUAUUUGAGUUCCUCAUGCUUCAUAAUAUCUCUGAGAAUUUUUUUUCCGUUUUUUUUUAGAGUUUUCAGAUUAUUUUUUCAUGGCUUAAAUAGUAAUUCUAGACUUUUCUAGAAUUAUUUCUAUGCACAAAAUUAAAUAAUUCUGAAAAUAUCUAAUUCCCAUCCUAGUCCGACUCAGUCCAAAGCUUUACUAAUGGAUCAAGGCUUACUUUCACACCCAUAUUUUAAGAACAAAAUAUGAUGCAUAAAAGACUCAUAUGUGCCCGAGGAAUAGUCGCACACAUAAGUAGACAAAUCUCAAAUGUACCAUUGCAAUGUUUAUUACAUAGCGGAACAUAAUAAAUCACAUAGUCUUACACAAAAAUAAUAAUAAUAUUAAACAAUGCUCUCAACGGAAGCUCCACACAGGGACACUGUUGACUGGUUGACUCCAAGCCUAAUACUCAUAACGAUAGUCCUCAUUCCAAUCAUCAUCACUUGCAUAACCUGGGGUGUUGGGAAAUUGCAAGAGUGAGCACAUAUCGUACUCAACAAGUAUAACCAGGGGUUCAUGAGGCUCAAAUAGCUGACACUAUUUUGACUGCAUUUAGCUUUUAAUAGUGGAUAGCAUGUUUAAUCAUUGGAUAGCAAAUAUCAAGGUAGCAUAAAUAAUCUCAUAACCACAUGAUCAAUUGUAUAAAAGAAUUAAGAAUAACAC
RNAcentral lists this long non-coding RNA (1061 nucleotides) under Sorghum bicolor (sorghum). Its description in RNAcentral is "long non-coding RNA (SBIC_LNC012044)". The record is from RNAcentral. Lineage: Eukaryota; Viridiplantae; Streptophyta; Magnoliopsida; Poales; Poaceae.